GUGGCGAACGGGUGAGUAACACGUGGGCAAUCUGCCCUUCACUCUGGGACAAGCCCUGGAAACGGGGUCUAAUACCGGAUAACACUCCUGUCCUCAUGGGCGGGGGUUAAAAGCUCCGGCGGUGAAGGAUGAGCCCGCGGCCUAUCAGCUUGUUGGUGAGGUAAUGGCUCACCAAGGCGACGACGGGUAGCCGGCCUGAGAGGGCGACCGGCCACACUGGGACUGAGACACGGCCCAGACUCCUACGGGAGGCAGCAGUGGGGAAUAUUGCACAAUGGGCGAAAGCCUGAUGCAGCGACGCCGCGUGAGGGAUGACGGCCUUCGGGUUGUAAACCUCUUUCAGCAGGGAAGAAGCGAAAGUGACGGUACCUGCAGAAGAAGCGCCGGCUAACUACGUGCCAGCAGCCGCGGUAAUACGUAGGGCGCAAGCGUUGUCCGGAAUUAUUGGGCGUAAAGAGCUCGUAGGCGGCUUGUCACGUCGAUUGUGAAAGCCCGAGGCUUAACCUCGGGUCUGCAGUCGAUACGGGCUAGCUAGAGUGUGGUAGGGGAGAUCGGAAUUCCUGGUGUAGCGGUGAAAUGCGCAGAUAUCAGGAGGAACACCGGUGGCGAAGGCGGAUCUCUGGGCCAUUACUGACGCUGAGGAGCGAAAGCGUGGGGAGCGAACAGGAUUAGAUACCCUGGUAGUCCACGCCGUAAACGGUGGGAACUAGGUGUUGGC
Molecule: ribosomal RNA, 718 nt
Filed under: Streptomyces sp.
Lineage: Bacteria; Bacillati; Actinomycetota; Actinomycetes; Kitasatosporales; Streptomycetaceae
Description: bacterial SSU rRNA
Rfam family: Bacterial small subunit ribosomal RNA
Source: RNAcentral